CCCGUUUUAUUAACACUCGAAAGUCGGAGCCCCAAUUACGGAGUACCCGCCAGAAAGCGCCGAAUUUGAAAUAAACCCUAGCCAUCUGAAACCCCUCAACAAUGGCGUUCACACUUACUCUCAUUAACUCUCCGGCCAAUUCAAUCUCACCGGAAACCAAUUCCGCAAUCAGAAAAUGUCCUUUGUUCAUCCGGAACUUACACUUCACACUUUACAGAAACCGUCGCCGUUCCAUUUCAUGCUCGGCGCAGCAGAAGCCGUUUAAGCCGAUGACGGAGGAAAAUAUUCUCGAGGCAGUAGCUGAUUUCGAUGGAGAUGAGAAAUCUGUACCUUGUUUAAGAACUUAUGAGAACGAUAUAGCUCGACUUACAUUGGUUGGUGCUGUUGACUUCCAGCAGGCACUCACUGCUGCUGCGGCGGACGGUGGUGAAGCUGCUGGAGAACAUAUUGCCGCUGGUAUGGAUGCUAUGGUUGUUGAAACAUUGUUUCCGGGACCUUCUGAUGAGCAUAGUACUAUUUCUACUAGACUGUUCUUACCAGCAAGAAAAGUUAUGGAGAAAGCUCAUAAGCUUAGAAGUACCAUAACUAAAGAGAUGCUUUCCGGCACGACGUCUACAAAUAUACUUGCUAUGACAUUUAGACAAGUAACACUGCAACAUCUUUGGAACUUUGAUCUAAUACUUUUUAUACCAGGAACAGAAAGGAAUAUGGAUGAUCUUGAAACACCAAGAGAGCAGGUACCUCCAUCUUUUGCUAUCAAGUCAUCAGAUGAACGAGUCAUUUCUGUUAUUGCAGAAGUUAUUUGUCUUUCUGCUCUCGAAAGCACAAAAAAACAUUUCUUUAAUGGAACUCCUGGUGGAGCCCCAAAGAAGUUUUUCCCUUGGUUUGACACACAUAAAAGCAUUGUCUCAAAAGAUUCCUCUGUUACUCUAUACAACUUAAUGGAAUAUGAGAUAGUUGCAAAUGCCAAUGUUUUGCUCCAGAAAUUUUCUUCCGAAAGGGCGAAUUACAGACCAAGGGAGGGAAGAUGGAUGGACAAUUGGUUAACUUCAACUACAUACUCCAAACUGGAACAAAUUGGAGGCCCUGAAUUUAUUGCUUGGCUGAGUGAGAGAGUACCUGCUUACAAAUUGCAGAUUGAUGCUGAGAAACUUGACAAUGUGAAGUUUGAAGGGUGGAAGGAAACAGCAACAAACACAUGGGAGGUUUUUCUGACUCACUCCCAAAUGGUUGGCCUGAGUGACGUUCUAGAUAUGUAUUAUGAAGAUGUCUAUACACUUCCCUACAAACAAUUAUCAUUGGGUGUUGUUGCAAAAUCUUUCAAUUCACCAUCUAGCAAGAGAAGCAUUUCUAUGUCAAAGGCAAUCUCUAUGGUCCUUGCAAGUGGAAUUUUUCUUGUUGCUAUAAGAAUUCUUGGUCAACGUUAUCUUCCUUAUCUCCCGAUUAGAAAGCACUAUCACCCGGGUGUUAAUCCAGUCAAUUCAUCUGACAUGAUCUCCAUUCAGCCUCAGUCCAUGGAAUCUUGCAAGUUGGAAGAUUACUGUGUCUCCAUUGUUAGGAGAAUCAAGGAAUUUUAUUGUUGGCCUGGAGAUGUAGUCAUGGGUUCUGGCAGCUCUGCUUGGAUCGGGGAGCUUCCAAUAUACCUGAAGAAUGAGAUGGAUUCCGAAGUUUUAGAUCUCAAUUCCAGCUCCACGCCAUCAGAAGGAAUUGAAGAUGAGAUGAAAGCAGCUGGAGAAGAUAUUGCCACUUAUCAGAUUGUUUUAUCUGGGGAUGGUAAAAUUGCUGGAUUCCAGCCUACAAGUCGUGUUGCUGAAAGUCAAUGGGAAGCAAACCCUUUAGUGAAAGAGCUCUAUGGAACGGAAAAGCUUUCUCCUGACUUGAUAGAACAAGGUCUCAAGAGAAGCCACGCCAGUGAUGCUGUUGUACUGGAAUUAUUGAUGUCAACAAAUCCCCAAAGUUCAUUUGCUUUGGUUAGACCAGUUACUGAAAAUAGUAGAUGAACAUUUUUGCUCCGCCACAUCCAAUAUUUGUACAACUAGGUACAGUGCUGGAUUAGAUUUUUCCAGUUGGCAUCGCUGCAGCGUAGUGUGGUUCAAGAACAACCUUCGUUUUCCCGCGUUGAUGCAAAAGUGAGCUAGUCACAAUGUGCAUAGCCAAAUUUCGUACAGACAAGACAUAAAAGAAGACUUCCCACAAAGUUUACUUUUGUCUAGUUAUUGUAUCCACUAACAAGGAAGCAGAAAACCAUUGGGUGGAAGACACCUGAUCCAUCCCAAACCUAUGUUUGCUCGGACUCUUAAAAAAUCUUGACAGGUGCGUAUCAGAUCCUCCAAUGUUUACUUGAGAUUUAUGCUCACGAGCAGGAUCCUAGCUUAGGCGUCCCUUUGCACGUCUCUGUUACUCUUAGGAAGCAUCUGCCCCCCUGAAUCCUGAUAAACUACCCAAGAAACUCCCAAGGAUUGUUGUGCACAAAUGUUUGAAGUUACAUAUUAAGUGGACUUCUUAACACAA
Molecule: RNA transcript, 2511 nt
Organism: Solanum pennellii
Lineage: Eukaryota; Viridiplantae; Streptophyta; Magnoliopsida; Solanales; Solanaceae
Exons: 9
Source: RefSeq, a predicted model, not a curated record